RNAcentral lists this ribosomal RNA (396 nucleotides) under uncultured bacterium. RNAcentral describes it as "partial 16S ribosomal RNA". It matches the Rfam family "Bacterial small subunit ribosomal RNA", at positions 523 to 918 of the family's 1533-position model. The record is from RNAcentral.
AUACGUAGGUGACAAGCGUUAUCCGGAUUUACUGGGCGUAAAGGGCGUGUAGGCGGUCUUGCAAGUCAGAAGUGAAAUUCCUGAGCUCAACUCGGGCGCUGCUUCUGAAACUGCAGGACUUGAGUGCUGGAGGGGAUAGCGGAAUUCCUAGUGGAGCGGUAAAAUGCGCAGAUAUUAGGAGGAACACCGGUGGCGAAGGCGGUCUUCUGGGCCGUAAUUGACGUUGAGGCUCGAAGGCGUGGGGAGCAAACAGGAUUAGAUACCCUGGUAGUCCCCGCGGUAAACGAUGAUCACUAGGUGUCCGUGGGUAUGGCCCAUGGGUGCCGCAGCCAACGCAAUAAGUGAUCCGCCUGGGGAGUACGGUCGCAAGAAUGAAACUCAAAGGAAUUGGCGGGG